GUGCCAGCCGCCGCGGUAAUACCGGCAGCCCAAGUGAUGGCCGAUCUUAUUGGGCCUAAAGCGUCCGUAGCUGGCCGCGCAGGUCCAUCGGAAAAUCCACCCGCCCAACGGGUGGGCGUCCGGUGGAAACUGUGUGGCUUGGGACCGGAAGGCGCGACGGGUACGGCCGGGGUAGGAGUGAAAUCCUGUAAUCCCGUCCGGACCACCGAUGGCGAAAGCACUUCGAGAAAACGGAUCCGACAGUGAGGGACGAAAGCUAAGAUCGCGAACCGGAUUAGAAACCCGAGUAGUCC
Molecule: ribosomal RNA, 293 nt
Filed under: uncultured bacterium
Lineage: Bacteria
Description: partial 16S ribosomal RNA
Rfam family: Archaeal small subunit ribosomal RNA
Source: RNAcentral